RNAcentral lists this ribosomal RNA (537 nucleotides) under Alternaria sp. PVF21. Its description in RNAcentral is "eukaryotic LSU rRNA". The stretch from base 164 to 317 matches the Rfam family "5.8S ribosomal RNA". Lineage: Eukaryota; Fungi; Ascomycota; Dothideomycetes; Pleosporales; Pleosporaceae. RNAcentral also lists the same sequence under 2 other names. The record is from RNAcentral.
CAAAUAUGAAGGCGGGCUGGAACCUCUCGGGGUUACAGCCUUGCUGAAUUAUUCACCCUUGUCUUUUGCGUACUUCUUGUUUCCUUGGUGGGUUCGCCCACCACUAGGACAAACAUAAACCUUUUGUAAUUGCAAUCAGCGUCAGUAACAAAUUAAUAAUUACAACUUUCAACAACGGAUCUCUUGGUUCUGGCAUCGAUGAAGAACGCAGCGAAAUGCGAUAAGUAGUGUGAAUUGCAGAAUUCAGUGAAUCAUCGAAUCUUUGAACGCACAUUGCGCCCUUUGGUAUUCCAAAGGGCAUGCCUGUUCGAGCGUCAUUUGUACCCUCAAGCUUUGCUUGGUGUUGGGCGUCUUGUCUCUAGCUUUGCUGGAGACUCGCCUUAAAGUAAUUGGCAGCCGGCCUACUGGUUUCGGAGCGCAGCACAAGUCGCACUCUCUAUCAGCAAAGGUCUAGCAUCCAUUAAGCCUUUUUUCAACUUUUGACCUCGGAUCAGGUAGGGAUACCCGCUGAACUUAAGCAUAUCAAUAAGCGGAGGA